Long non-coding RNA from Bombus pascuorum, 2466 nucleotides. RefSeq lists it as uncharacterized. The transcript is spliced from 2 exons. The record is from RefSeq and is a predicted model, not a curated record. NCBI's taxonomy places the organism in Eukaryota, Metazoa, Arthropoda, Insecta, Hymenoptera, Apidae.
ACUAGUUGCAUGAUCCUACGAAAAAGACGGUUUCAUGCGAGAUAUAGUGAGAGAAUAACUUGAUUCGUCAAUAAUUAGUGCUAUAGCGAUAAUAUACUGAAAUUAUUAAUAUAAAUUAUUUUUAAAUCAUUCAACAUAGAAACAUAUGCAAUUGGUGUGUUUGCUUUGUUAUUGACCUUAAGUGGAAUAUUAUAUAUGAUUAGAUACUUAUAGAUAUGUAUAAGUAUUAAAAAUAUGAAAAAGUAUAAUUGUCUUCUAAACGUAAUAUGUUACUGGAUAUCUGAUUAAAUUCAAUCGCACAUAUUCUUAAAAGCCCUAAUCUUAAAUUUCUCAUUAUGUGAAUUGCAGUUAUCAUUCGUCAUCCGAUGAAUUCCAAUAAAUGAAAUUUUAUUAUAUACCAUUGCAGAAAAAUAUGAACAGCAAUAUCAAUAUCAUGGAAUUCCUUGUUAUUUAACAUCAAUUAAAUGUUUAUUGAAGUCAAAGGAAAACUGAUAUUGGACGUGUAACAUAAAUCGCACAGUGAUUAACCUAUCCCCUUCAAAUGUUUUUCAAAUUGAGGUUAAAAAUGUAUACACAUGAGAAUUUGGUAACAAAUAUCAAUGAAUCUACUAUUAGCAUUUGCAAUGAUCUUAUCGAUAUUCAAAAUAGAUACGGUUAAUGUGAAAGCCAUCUUACAUACACAGGAACACGAAAUGAUUAAUACAUUAUGUCAAAAUCGAAUACAAUGUUAAAUAUGAACAAAAAUUAAGUACCUUUAAUCCAUAUAAUUAAUUCUGGUUUAUAUCUCAAUAUACUUUCCAUAUCUCAAAAUCAAAGACAAAUUAACCGAUACAUUCUGAAUGCGCUGACAAAGUUUCUCCAUUUGUUCGCGGGAUACCUUAUGUAUUGUAUAGAACAAUACACGUGUAAACAUAUAUUAAUUGUUUUCGCCAAUUAUAAACAUGUAUUUUAUAAAAGUUUGUUCUAUUAAACGUAGAUUCUAUUUAACUUUAUAAUAUAAUUCUAUUAUGCUGUAAAGAUAGAAAUGAAUAAAACGAAUAUUUUCCAAAUUUAACGGAACUCAAUGACUAUACAAAAUUUUACUAUAAAAUGACAUAUAAAACGACACUAAAAUAAUGAAACUCAAAAGUGAUUACAAAUUUCUAUACAUUUCUUUGCAAUUACAUUACUUAUAGAACGUAUAUUGAUAAAUCUAUAAUCAACUUUGUAAUGUGACUUAAAAUAAAAGUUACAUCCUGAACUAACAAGUUUUCCCUGUUUCUUGUUGAAAUUCAUAAGUAGCUGCAUUUGACGGAAUUAAUUUAUCAUUAGGACAGGAUAUAGCUGCAUAAAGCAUUUCCACGUUGCAAUCAGCGAUUCAUUACGAAAAAUUGAUGCUGAAGGAAAAAAGUCAUGGCCGACAGCUGAAGAAAAAUGAUUCGUGCACAUGCCUCGGCUGAAUUAGACCCAAUACAUGUUUAGAAUGGCGCAGCGACCUCCAUCGCCUCGCAGGCAAAGAAAAUAAUCGUUGCUCCAGUUGGAUGUGCGCCAGCAAAUGUAGCUCCUUUUUAAGUUUGCCCUUCGAGCGUAGCCUUGACUUUCAGGCCGUAAAACGUGUGUAUAUCUCUCCCGGUAUCUUGCACCUGCUUCCCAAGGUGUGCAUGCGAAGAAGCUUUUGAUCGUAAGAGAAAUUUGGCCCAGCCGUGAAAGGACCUUAAUUUAUUUAUUGCUACGCUACGACGCGCUACGUGCGGCGGAACCGAUGACUCCGGCACUGUGCGCAUCAUUUUGCAGAAGGCCUCCAAGUGUUUUCCCGGACCACACCCUCGUCAAGGCCGUUUUUCGGCAAUUAUACCGACCACAAAAAAUAUAACCUAGCAAACACGAAGAUGGCACCCCGCUGGGGGUAGCCACCCACAUGCUAUAUUUUAUUUUUAUUUUUUUUUUUUUCUUUCCUAAUCACUAAGAUAUAAUACUUUACCAAAUGUCCGUCUGGACAAAUUGUAAAAACCAAAAUAAAAUAAAAAAAAAAAUUAUACCCAGGAUGCGUUUUCGCGGAAGGACCAUUGUGUACUUCUUUUUACAAAUUUCACUAAUGGUAUUCCAAGAAUGAUAAGUUAUUUUUACAUUUAAAAAGAUAGUUCACAUAGACAUGAUAUGUUUUCUCCAAUAACAAAAGAUUCUACGUGUAUAUGAUUUAUUGAAACUUAUUUCAUUGGAUACAUUUUCAUACAAAAAUGUUAAUAAUAAUGAUUAGUAGUAAAAUUGAAACUUAAGAAGUUCUUUUUAUUUUACAUUUAUUUAAUAAUACUGUGAGAUACCAAAUGAUAAAUUAAAUUUAGUUAGAUACGAUCUAAUUAAUAAGAAUUUCAAGAUUAAUAUUAAGUAUAUUUGGUGUUCUUACUUUUGUCAUUCAAACGAUACAAAGAUACGUACAUAGAUGUAUAACACGUCUGAACAAUAAAUAGGAUUUUGUUGAUGUACAUG